UACAGAGGGUGCGAGCGUUAAUCGGAAUUACUGGGCGUAAAGCGCGCGUAGGCGGUUUUGUAAGUCGGGUGUGAAAUCCCCAAGCUUAACUUGGGAACUGCAUUCGAGACUGCAUAGCUAGAGUAUGGGAGAGGAGACUGGAAUUUACGGUGUAGCGGUGAAAUGCGUAGAUAUCGUAAGGAAGACCAGUGGCGAAGGCGGGUCUCUGGACAGUUCCUGACGCUGAGGCACGAAGGCCAGGGGAGCAAACGGG
This 253-nucleotide ribosomal RNA is filed under the name uncultured bacterium. Its description in RNAcentral is "partial 16S ribosomal RNA". It matches the Rfam family "Bacterial small subunit ribosomal RNA", at positions 524 to 776 of the family's 1533-position model. The record is from RNAcentral.